Molecule: ribosomal RNA, 2907 nt
Filed under: Cronobacter sakazakii
Lineage: Bacteria; Pseudomonadati; Pseudomonadota; Gammaproteobacteria; Enterobacterales; Enterobacteriaceae
Description: bacterial LSU rRNA
Rfam family: Bacterial large subunit ribosomal RNA
Source: RNAcentral
UUAAGCGAACAAGCGUACACGGUGGAUGCCCUGGCAGUCAGAGGCGAUGGAAGGACGUGCUAAUCUGCGAAAAAGCGCCGGUAAGGUGAUAUGAACCGUUAUAACCGGCGAUGUCCGAAUGGGGGAAACCCGGUGCACUUCGGUGCAUCAUCGUUAGCUGAAUACAUAGGCUAACGAGGCGAACCGGGGGAACUGAAACAUCUAAGUACCCCGAGGAAAAGAAAUCAACCGAGAUUCCCCCAGUAGCGGCGAGCGAACGGGGAACAGCCCAGAGCCUGAAUCAGCUUGUGUGUCAGUGGAACGGUCUGGAAAGGCCGGCGAUACAGGGUGACAGCCCCGUACACGAAGGCACACAGGCUGUGAGCUCGAUGAGUAGGGCGGGACACGUGAUAUCCUGUCUGAAGAUGGGGGACCAUCCUCCAAGGCUAAAUACUCCUGACUGACCGAUAGUGAACCAGUACCGUGAGGGAAAGGCGAAAAGAACCCCGGCGAGGGGAGUGAAACAGAACCUGAAACCGUGUACGUACAAGCAGUGGGAGCCUUCGUAAGAGGGUGACUGCGUACCUUUUGUAUAAUGGGUCAGCGACUUAUAUUCUGUAGCAAGGUUAACCGUAUAGGGGAGCCGAAGGGAAACCGAGUCUUAACCGGGCGUUAAGUUGCAGGGUAUAGACCCGAAACCCGGUGAUCUAGCCAUGGGCAGGUUUGAAGGUUGGGUAACACUAACUGGAGGACCCGAACCCGACUAAUGUUGAAAAAUUAGCGGAUGACCUGUGGCUGGGGGUGAAAGGCCAAUCAAACCGGGAGAUAGCUGGUUCUCCCGAAAGCUAUUUAGGUAGCGCCUCGUGAACUCAUCUCCGGGGGUAGAGCACUGUUUCGGCUAGGGGGCCAUCCCGGCUUACCAACCCGAUGCAAACUGCGAAUACCGGAGAAUGUUAUCACGGGAGACACACGGCGGGUGCUAACGUCCGUCGUGAAGAGGGAAACAACCCAGACCGCCAGCUAAGGUUCCCAAAGUCAUGGGUUAAGUGGGAAACGAUGUGGGAAGGCCCAGACAGCCAGGAUGUUGGCUUAGAAGCAGCCAUCAUUUAAAGAAAGCGUAAUAGCUCACUGGUCGAGUCGGCCUGCGCGGAAGAUGUAACGGGGCUAAACCAUGCACCGAAGCUGCGGCAGCGACGCUUAUGCGUUGUUGGGUAGGGGAGCGUUCUGUAAGCCUGCGAAGGUGUGCUGUGAGGCAUGCUGGAGGUAUCAGAAGUGCGAAUGCUGACAUAAGUAACGAUAAAGCGGGUGAAAAGCCCGCUCGCCGGAAGACCAAGGGUUCCUGUCCAACGUUAAUCGGGGCAGGGUGAGUCGACCCCUAAGGCGAGGCCGAAAGGCGUAGUCGAUGGGAAACAGGUUAAUAUUCCUGUACUUGGUGUUACUGCGAAGGGGGGACGGAGAAGGCUAUGUCGGCCGGGCGACGGUUGUCCCGGUUUAAGCGUGUAGGCUGACUUUCCAGGCAAAUCCGGAAAGUUAAGGCUGAGGCGUGAUGACGAGGCACCACGGUGCUGAAGUGACAAAUGCCCUGCUUCCAGGAAAAGCCUCUAAGCAUCAGGUAACAUCAAAUCGUACCCCAAACCGACACAGGUGGUCAGGUAGAGAAUACCAAGGCGCUUGAGAGAACUCGGGUGAAGGAACUAGGCAAAAUGGUGCCGUAACUUCGGGAGAAGGCACGCUGACAUGUAGGUGAAGCCCCUGCGGGUGGAGCUGAAGUCAGUCGAAGAUACCAGCUGGCUGCAACUGUUUAUUAAAAACACAGCACUGUGCAAACACGAAAGUGGACGUAUACGGUGUGACGCCUGCCCGGUGCCGGAAGGUUAAUUGAUGGGGUUAUCGCAAGAGAAGCUCCUGAUCGAAGCCCCGGUAAACGGCGGCCGUAACUAUAACGGUCCUAAGGUAGCGAAAUUCCUUGUCGGGUAAGUUCCGACCUGCACGAAUGGCGUAAUGAUGGCCAGGCUGUCUCCACCCGAGACUCAGUGAAAUUGAACUCGCUGUGAAGAUGCAGUGUACCCGCGGCAAGACGGAAAGACCCCGUGAACCUUUACUACAGCUUGACACUGAACAUUGAGCCUUGAUGUGUAGGAUAGGUGGGAGGCUUUGAAGCGUGGACGCCAGUCUGCGUGGAGCCGACCUUGAAAUACCACCCUUUAAUGUUUGAUGUUCUAACCUGGCGCCAUAAUCUGGCGUGGGGACAGUGUCUGGUGGGUAGUUUGACUGGGGCGGUCUCCUCCCAAAGUGUAACGGAGGAGCACGAAGGUCAGCUAAUCCUGGUCGGACAUCAGGAGGUUAGUGCAAUGGCAUAAGCUGGCUUGACUGCGAGAGUGACGGCUCGAGCAGGUGCGAAAGCAGGUCAUAGUGAUCCGGUGGUUCUGUAUGGAAGGGCCAUCGCUCAACGGAUAAAAGGUACUCCGGGGAUAACAGGCUGAUACCGCCCAAGAGUUCAUAUCGACGGCGGUGUUUGGCACCUCGAUGUCGGCUCAUCACAUCCUGGGGCUGAAGUAGGUCCCAAGGGUAUGGCUGUUCGCCAUUUAAAGUGGUACGCGAGCUGGGUUUAGAACGUCGUGAGACAGUUCGGUCCCUAUCUGCCGUGGGCGCUGGAGAAUUGAGGGGGGCUGCUCCCAGUACGAGAGGACCGGAGUGGACGCAUCACUGGUGUUCGGGUUGUCAUGCCAAUGGCACUGCCCGGUAGCUAAAUGCGGAAGAGAUAAGUGCUGAAAGCAUCUAAGCACGAAACUUGCCCCGAGAUGAGUUCUCCCUGAGACUAUAAGUCUCCUGAAGGAACGUUGAAGACGACGACGUUGAUAGGCCGGGUGUGUAAGCGCAGCGAUGCGUUGAGCUAACCGGUACUAAUGAACCGUGAGGCUUAACCUU